Molecule: ribosomal RNA, 465 nt
Filed under: uncultured bacterium
Lineage: Bacteria
Description: partial 16S ribosomal RNA
Rfam family: Bacterial small subunit ribosomal RNA
Source: RNAcentral
GACGAACGCUGGCGGCGUGCUUAACACAUGCAAGUCGAACGGUAAGGCUCCAGCUUGCUGGGGUACACGAGUGGCGAACGGGUGAGUAACACGUGGGUGACCUGCCCUGCACUUCGGGAUAAGCCUGGGAAACUGGGUCUAAUACCGGAUAGGACCGCACCGUGAGGGUGUGGUGGAACGUUUUUUCGGUGUGGGAUGGGCCCGCGGCCUAUCAGCUUGUUGGUGGGGUAAUGGCCUACCAAGGCGGCGACGGGUAGCCGGCCUGAGAGGGUGGACGGCCACAUUGGGACUGAGACACGGCCCAGACUCCUACGGGAGGCAGCAGUGGGGAAUAUUGCACAAUGGGCGGAAGCCUGAUGCAGCGACGCCGCGUGGGGGAUGACGGCCUUCGGGUUGUAAACUCCUUUCACCAUCGACGAAGGGUUUCUGACGGUAGAUGGAGAAGAAGCACCGGCUAACUACGUG